This 406-nucleotide ribosomal RNA is filed under the name uncultured bacterium. RNAcentral describes it as "partial 16S ribosomal RNA". It matches the Rfam family "Bacterial small subunit ribosomal RNA", at positions 30 to 526 of the family's 1533-position model. The record is from RNAcentral.
AUUGAACGCUGGCGGCAGGCCUAACACAUGCAAGUCGAACGAGUGGCGGACGGGUGAGUAAUGUCUGGGGAACUGCCUGAUGGAGGGGGAUAACUACUGGAAACGGUAGCUAAUACCGCAUACCAUCGGAUGUGCCCAUAUGGGAUUAGCUUGUAGGUGGGGUAACGGCUCACCUAGGCGACGAUCCCUAGCUGGUCUGAGAGGAUGACCAGCCACACUGGAACUGAGACACGGCCCAGACUCCUACGGGAGGCAGCAGUGGGGAAUAUUGCACAAUGGGCGCAAGCCUGAUGCAGCCAUGCCGCGUGUAUGAAGAAGGCCUUCGGGUUGUAAAGUACUUUCAGUCGGGAGGCGUUACCCACAGAAGAAGCACCGGCUAACUCCGUGCCAGCAGCCGCGGUAAUUC